RNAcentral lists this transfer RNA (76 nucleotides) under Bifidobacterium angulatum. RNAcentral's name for it is "tRNA-Ala". It matches the Rfam family "tRNA". From Rfam's summary of the family: Transfer RNA (tRNA) molecules are approximately 80 nucleotides in length. RNAcentral also lists the same sequence under 2 other names. Lineage: Bacteria; Bacillati; Actinomycetota; Actinomycetes; Bifidobacteriales; Bifidobacteriaceae. The record is from RNAcentral.
GGGGCUGUAGCUCAGUUGGUAGAGCGCUUCGUUCGCAUCGAAGAGGUCGUGGUUUCGACUACCAUCAGCUCCACGA